AUUAGGAUUAGGUGUAGGUUUAGGUUUAGGGAUUUGAGAAUACAUUUAGGUUUUAGGUUUAGGUUAAGGUUUAGGUUUAGGUUUAGGUUAAGGUUUAGGUUUAGGUCAUAAGCUAUAGGUUUAGGGAAUUGAGAAUAGGUUAAGGUUUAGGUUUAGGAAAUCGGGUUCAGGUUCGGGUUCGGGAUCGGGUUUAGGUUUGGGUUUUCAAGUUUAAGUUUAGGUUUAGGUUAGGGAGUUGAGAUUAGGAUUAGGUGUAGGUGUAGGUUUAGGUUUAGGGAUUUGAGAAUACAUUCAGGUUUUAGGUUUAGGUUUAGGUUUAGGUUUUAGGUUAUAGGUUAAGGUUUAGGUUUUAGGUUUAGGUUAAGGUUAGGUUAUAGGUUAUAAGUUUAGGUUUUGGUUUAGGUUAAGGUUAUAGGUUUAGGUUAAGGUUUAGGUUUAGGUUUAGGUCUAGGUUAUAAGCUAUAGGUUUAGG
This is a long non-coding RNA of Magnolia sinica, 472 nucleotides long. RefSeq lists it as uncharacterized. NCBI's taxonomy places the organism in Eukaryota, Viridiplantae, Streptophyta, Magnoliopsida, Magnoliales, Magnoliaceae. The transcript is spliced from 3 exons. The record is from RefSeq and is a predicted model, not a curated record.